GCAGUGUAAGGGUGAAAUCUGUAGAUAUUGCUAAGAACACCGGCGGCGAAGGCGGCUUCCUGGUCCGUUUCUGACGCUAAAUUGCGAAAGCUAGGGUAGCAAACGGAAUUAGAUACUCCGGUAGUCCUAGCCGUAAACGAUGAGUACUAGGUGUCGGUCAUUCUGAUCGGUGCCGCAGCUAACGCAUUAAGUACUCCACCUGGGGACUACGGCCGCAAGGCUAAAACUCAAAGGAAUUGACGGGGACCCGCACAAGCGGUGGAACAUGUGGUUUAAUUCGAUGCUACGCGAAGAACCUCACCAGGGCUUGACAUGCUCGUCGUAUCCCUAUGAAAGUAGGGAGUCAUUUAGUUGGACGAUGCACAGGUGCUGCAUGGCUGUCGUCAGCUCGUGUCGUGAGAUGUUGGGUUAAGUCCCGCAACGAGCGCAACCAUUGCCCCAUGUUGCCACUCUACCAAUUGAUCUUCGGAUCACCGGUAGAAGCACUCUUGGGGGACUGCCUGGGAUAACCAGGAGGAAGGUGGAGAUGACGUCAAGUCAGUACGGCCCUUAUGCCCUGGGCUACACACGUGUUACAAUGGCAGGUACAAAGAGUCGCCAACCCGCGAGGGGGAGCCAAUCUCAAAAAACCUGCCCCAGUUCGGAUAAGAGUCUGCAACUCGACUCUUUGAAGCCGGAAUCGCUAGUAAUGGAAGAUCAGCUCGCUUCCGUGAAUACGUUCCCGGGUCUUGUACACACCGCCCGUCAAGCGAUGAAAGUCGGAAGUACCCGAAGUCCUAUGUAGGUAGGCCGAAGGUAAAGUCGAUGAUUGGCGCUAAGUCGUAACAAGGUA
RNAcentral lists this ribosomal RNA (832 nucleotides) under uncultured deep-sea bacterium. RNAcentral describes it as "bacterial SSU rRNA". It matches the Rfam family "Bacterial small subunit ribosomal RNA", at positions 670 to 1498 of the family's 1533-position model. The record is from RNAcentral.